Molecule: ribosomal RNA, 857 nt
Filed under: Cordyceps ninchukispora
Lineage: Eukaryota; Fungi; Ascomycota; Sordariomycetes; Hypocreales; Cordycipitaceae
Description: partial large subunit ribosomal RNA
Rfam family: Eukaryotic large subunit ribosomal RNA
Source: RNAcentral
UUUGGCCCCAGUAACGGCGAGUGAAGCGGCAACAGCUCAAAUUUGAAAUCUGGCCCCCAGGGCCCGAGUUGUAAUUUGCAGAGGAUGCUUUGGGCGAGGUGCCUUCCGAGUUCCCUGGAACGGGACGCCAUAGAGGGUGAGAGCCCCGUCUGGUCGGACACCGAGCCUGUGUAAAGCUCCUUCGACGAGUCGAGUAGUUUGGGAAUGCUGCUCAAAAUGGGAGGUAUAUGUCUUCUAAAGCUAAAUAUUGGCCAGAGACCGAUAGCGCACAAGUAGAGUGAUCGAAAGAUGAAAAGCACUUUGAAAAGAGGGUUAAAAAGUACGUGAAAUUGUUGAAAGGGAAGCGCCUAUGACCAGACUUGGGCCCGGUGAAUCAUCCAGCGUUCUCGCUGGUGCACUUUGCCGGGCACAGGCCAGCAUCAGUUUGGCGCGGGGGACAAAGGCUUCGGGAAUGUAGCUCCCUCGGGAGUGUUAUAGCCCGCUGCGCAAUACCCUGCGCCGGACUGAGGUACGCGCAUCGCAAGGAUGCUGGCGUAAUGGUCAUCAGCGACCCGUCUUGAAACACGGACCAAGGAGUCGUCUUCGUAUGCGAGUGUUCGGGUGUCAAACCCCUACGCGUAAUGAAAGUGAACGCAGGUGAGAGCUUCGGCGCAUCAUCGACCGAUCCUGAUGUUCUCGGAUGGAUUUGAGUAAGAGCAUACGGGGCCGGACCCGAAAGAAGGUGAACUAUGCCUGUAUAGGGUGAAGCCAGAGGAAACUCUGGUGGAGGCUCGCAGCGGUUCUGACGUGCGAAUCGAUCGUCAAAUAUGGGCAUGGGGGCGAAAGACUAAUCGAACCUUCUAGUAGCUGGUUCGCGU